GUUUUAGGCCUGACUUCUCUAAGGACAGUGUGUAUGGGCCUGUUUUCCCCCAGUACAUAGGGUCAGAGUCCUGCCAGCAAUAGCCAAAACAUGGUAGAAUCAGUCAAGAGAUCUAACAAAAGUGCUCUUGGAGGAAGAACUUCAGAGAAAGAAGCAAAUUUUAUGCUGAGAAAUCAUGAUUCCACACUCUGGAGUGAGAACUCUAGAUAGUUUACUCUGUGGUCACUUACUCGUAUUUCUACAUAGAUGGAAGGUCUCGGCCCUGGAGUUCUGGUCUACCUUUCUGCUCCUUUUUCUCCAAGGAACAGACCAGCUUCCGCAGGAAUGAACCCAGAAAACAGUCUACAACUAUAUUUCCAGCACAGGGGCUGGCACACACUGAGUGCUGAACUGAACUGAACAGAUGCUGUAAGCAAGAAAGAGUCAAAUUUUGCAAGAUUUUACUGAGGAGGAAGGCACUACCUCAAAGCCAGCAAAAGAAGAGUUUCUAGAGAAAGGAGAGGAUUGAUGGGUUCACUGGUGCUCACUGGAAACUAUCAAAUUUGUAAUGUGAGCAUCCCAACAUGCAGAGGAACCAGAAGUUCAAUAUUUGAGCUGAUUAAGGAUCAAUCAGCCAGUUCCCUGGGCAGGGGAGAGACUCUGCUUCCACAUUAUCAGGGACUCAGAGAAGCUGGAUAAACGUCUCUGCUUUCUUUCCUCUGGUCCAUCCUGCUCCAGUAUCAGUGGAACUCCCAGCUAGAGGAAGAAUGUACUUCAUUUUUAACUCUGUACCAGUCUUGAGAUUUCCUUUGGCAAAAAGCAAAAACAAAAACACGACCACCACCAACACAAAACUCAGCAGAAUUAAGAUUUCCCCCAUACACUUCCUGUGGUUUCACAACCGACUGCCAUAGCUCAUGUUACCCUCGUGGCUUGG
Molecule: long non-coding RNA, 916 nt
Filed under: Homo sapiens (human)
Lineage: Eukaryota; Metazoa; Chordata; Mammalia; Primates; Hominidae
Description: non-protein coding lnc-CMPK2-6:4
Source: RNAcentral